This 28-nucleotide non-coding RNA is filed under the name Bombyx mori (domestic silkworm). Lineage: Eukaryota; Metazoa; Arthropoda; Insecta; Lepidoptera; Bombycidae. The record is from RNAcentral.
UCAUCUAAUAGGUCAUUUAGGUCUCCUC